RNAcentral lists this ribosomal RNA (255 nucleotides) under uncultured bacterium. RNAcentral describes it as "partial 16S ribosomal RNA". It matches the Rfam family "Bacterial small subunit ribosomal RNA", at positions 524 to 776 of the family's 1533-position model. The record is from RNAcentral.
UACGGGGGGGGCAAGCGUUGUUCGGAAUUACUGGGCGUAAAGGGCUCGUAGGCGGCCAACUAAGUCAGACGUGAAAUCCCUCGGCUUAACCGGGGAACUGCGUCUGAUACUGGAUGGCUUGAGGUUGGGAGAGGGAUGCGGAAUUCCAGGUGUAGCGGUGAAAUGCGUAGAUAUCAGGAGGAACACCAAUAGCGAAGGCAGCUCGCUGGGACGUUACUGACACUGAGGCGCGAAAAGCGUGGGGGAGCGAACAGG